AUGGGUCCCAACCUCAAGUACCGGGCUGGGCUCGUCCUCAUCGUCGCCGUCGUGCUCAUAUGGGUCACCUCCGCCGAGGUCACGCAGGGGAUUUUCGCUAACUACAAGCAACCAUUCGCAAUUACUUACUUGGGGGCCUCCCUUAUGGUGAUCUACAUCCCGUUGGCAUUUCUGAAGGAUUUUAUAUACAGAUUGCUGAGAAGGAAUUCUGGAAGCAGCAAGGCCUCAAAAAUCGCGAGCAAAUCUUCAUUUGGCGGUAGCGCUCCUCUGAAGAAUGGUGAAUUUCAGAAGAUGCUGGAAAUGGAACCACAGAAAACCGUGGUGAUAAAAAUUACUGAUGUGGACAUUCCUGUACUAGAAGAGACGAAACCACUCAUCUGUGGAAUUGGUGAAUGUGAGGGUGGGGUUUUGAAGGAGCAACAGCUUUCCACCAAGGAGAUUGCAAUUUAUGGGUUGUAUCUUUGUCCCAUAUGGUUUGUCACAGAGUAUUUGUCAAAUGCGGCACUUGCAAGAACCAGUGUGGCAAGCACUACUGUACUAUCUUCAACUUCGGGACUCUUCACCCUUUUCAUUGGUGUGCUACUGGGCCAAGAUUCCAUAAAUGCUGCCAAAGUUAUUGCUGUUUUUGUUAGCAUGGCUGGUGUGGCAAUGACAACUAUGGGCCAGACUUGGGCAACAGAUGAAUCAGAAGUAAGCAAUUCAGGGGCCACACAGAGGACUCUUCUAGGAGACAUGUUUGGUCUUAUGUCAGCUAUGUCAUAUGGUCUAUUCACAGUGCUUCUCAAAAAGUUUGCUGGAGAAGGAUCAGAAAAGGUUGAUGUCCAAAAACUGUUUGGUUUUCUCGGACUUUUCAGUCUUUGUCUUCUCUGGUGGCUUGUGUGGCCAUUAACUGCACUUGGCAUUGAGCCAAAGUUUACAAUGCCCCACUCAGCUAAAGUGGAUGAAGUGGUGCUGGCAAACGGCCUUAUUGGGAGUGUGCUAUCAGACUACUUUUGGGCUCUUUCCGUGGUUUGGACUAAUCCCUUGGUGGCCACGUUAGGCAUGUCGCUCACAAUUCCACUAGCGAUGGUUGCUGACAUGGUCAUCCACGGCCGACAUUAUUCAGCAGUCUACAUUUUUGGCUCUGUCCAGGUAUUUUCUGGGUUCGUCAUCGCCAAUCUUGCCGACCGCGUUUCACGUUUCUUAGGUCUAUAG
This 1194-nucleotide ribosomal RNA is filed under the name Triticum aestivum (bread wheat). RNAcentral's name for it is "partial small subunit ribosomal RNA". The record is from RNAcentral. Lineage: Eukaryota; Viridiplantae; Streptophyta; Magnoliopsida; Poales; Poaceae.